RNAcentral lists this ribosomal RNA (253 nucleotides) under uncultured bacterium. RNAcentral's name for it is "partial 16S ribosomal RNA". It matches the Rfam family "Bacterial small subunit ribosomal RNA", at positions 524 to 776 of the family's 1533-position model. The record is from RNAcentral.
UACGUAGGUGGCAAGCGUUGUCCGGAAUUACUGGGCGUAAAGAGCGCGCAGGCGGCUGGUCAAGUCCGAUGUGAAAGCUCCCGGCUUAACUGGGAAAUUGCAUCGGAAACUGGUCGGCUUGAAGGUGGGAGAGGGUAGUGGAAUUCCCGGUGUAGUGGUGAAAUGCGUAGAUAUCAGGAGGAACACCGGUGGCGAAGGCGGCCCUCUGGACGAUGACUGACGCUGAGACGCGAAAGCGUGGGGAGCAAACAGG